AACGAACGCUGGCGGCAUGCCUAACACAUGCAAGUCGAACGAGACCUUCGGGUCUAGUGGCGCACGGGUGCGUAACGCGUGGGAACCUGCCCUUAGGUUCGGAAUAACUCCCCGAAAGGGGUGCUAAUACCGGAUAAUGUCUUCGGACCUAAGAUUUAUCGCCUUUGGAUGGGCCCGCGUUGGAUUAGCUAGUUGGUAGGGUAAAAGCCUACCAAGGCGACGAUCCAUAGCUGGUCUGAGAGGAUGAUCGGCCACACUGGGACUGAGACACGGCCCAGACUCCUACGGGAGGCAGCAGUGGGGAAUAUUGGACAAUGGGCGAAAGCCUGAUCCAGCAAUGCCGCGUGAGUGAUGAAGGCCUUAGGGUUGUAAAGCUCUUUUACCCGGGAUGAUAAUGACAGUACCGGGAGAAUAAGCUCCGGCUAACUCCGUG
RNAcentral lists this ribosomal RNA (433 nucleotides) under uncultured bacterium. RNAcentral describes it as "partial 16S ribosomal RNA". It matches the Rfam family "Bacterial small subunit ribosomal RNA", at positions 29 to 507 of the family's 1533-position model. The record is from RNAcentral.